CCAGAGUACCUGCAACAGUUGUCUCACACGGGGGGUACUAUUGAACCUGAGACCCUGUUGUUAUCCCUAACAAUAAAAGAGGACAAGAACAUUGGCCCAAUCACAGAUGGUUUGGCUUGGCUGUAGACAGGCAGCUCUUUUGUAGACAUGAGGUCAAGAACAACGAUUCAAUGGACUUGCACAAUCAUUGUGAUUUGGUUGAUUGUGGAAUCACAUGCUCAAAAGAUUAAAAUGAAUCCAAACCGCUGGGGCCCUCAGUCAAUGAUGUAUCUCAAAGGAAAAU
Long non-coding RNA from Oncorhynchus kisutch (coho salmon), 283 nucleotides. RefSeq lists it as uncharacterized. The transcript is spliced from 3 exons. NCBI's taxonomy places the organism in Eukaryota, Metazoa, Chordata, Actinopteri, Salmoniformes, Salmonidae. The record is from RefSeq and is a predicted model, not a curated record.